CGUGUAGGCGGUUGGUCAAGUCGGAUGUGAAAGCCUGGGGCUCAGCCCCAGAAGUGCAUCCGAAACUAGCCAGCUAGAGCGCGAUAGAGGAGGGUGGAAUUCCUGGUGUAGCGGUGAAAUGCGUAGAUAUCAGGAGGAACACCGGCGGCGAAGGCGGCCCUCUGGAUCGUUGCUGACGCUGAGACGCGAAAGCGUGGGGAGCAAACAGGAUUAGAUACCCUGGUAGUCCACGCCUUAAACGAUGGGUACUAGGUGUUCGGGGUGUUGACCCCCUGAGUGCCGCAGUUAACGCAUUAAGUACCCCGCCUGGGACUACGGCCGCAAGGUUAAA
This 331-nucleotide ribosomal RNA is filed under the name uncultured bacterium. RNAcentral describes it as "bacterial SSU rRNA". It matches the Rfam family "Bacterial small subunit ribosomal RNA", at positions 568 to 898 of the family's 1533-position model. The record is from RNAcentral.